AAAUGAAUUGACGGGGGCCCGCACAAGCAGCGGAGCGUGUGGUUUAAUUCGAUGCAACACGAAAAACCUCACCAGGAUUUGACAUGUCGGAAGUAGUGAGCCGAAAGGGGAACUAACUGUUAAGCCAGUAACCGUCACAGGUGCUGCAUGGCUGUCGUCAGCUCGUGCCGUGAGGUGUAUGGUUAAGUCCUGCAACGAGCGCAACCCUCAUGGCUAGUUGUUUUCUCUAGCCAGACUGCCUCGCAAAACGGGGAGGAAGGUGGGGAUGACGUCAAGUCAGCAUGGCCUUUAUAUCCUGGGCUACACACACGCUACAAUGGGUGGUACAAUAGGUCGCAACAGUGCGAACUGAAGCUAAUCCCUAAAGCCAUCCUCAGUACAGAUUGCAGGCUGAAACCCGCCUGCAUGAAGUCGGAGUUGCUAGUAACCGCAAAUCAGCAUGUUGCGGUGAAUACGUUCUCGGGCCUUGUACACACCGCCCGU
This 483-nucleotide ribosomal RNA is filed under the name uncultured bacterium. RNAcentral describes it as "bacterial SSU rRNA". It matches the Rfam family "Bacterial small subunit ribosomal RNA", at positions 903 to 1397 of the family's 1533-position model. The record is from RNAcentral.